This 274-nucleotide ribosomal RNA is filed under the name uncultured bacterium. RNAcentral's name for it is "partial 16S ribosomal RNA". It matches the Rfam family "Bacterial small subunit ribosomal RNA", at positions 523 to 796 of the family's 1533-position model. The record is from RNAcentral.
AGACGAACCGGGCGAACGUUAUUCGGAAUCACUGGGCUUAAAGCGUGCGUAGGCGGCUUGGCAAGUUGGGUGUGAAAGCCCUCGGCUCAACCGAGGAACUGCGCCCAAAACUGCCAGGCUUGAGGGAGAUAGAGGUGAGUGAAACUAAUGGUGGAGCGGUGAAAUGCUUUGAUAUCAUUAGGAACACCGGUGGCGAAAGCGGCUCUCUGGGUCUCUUCUGACGCUGAGGCACGAAAGCUAGGGGAGCGAACGGGAUUAGAAACCCUAGUAGUCC